Molecule: non-coding RNA, 167 nt
Filed under: human gut metagenome
Description: Lysine riboswitch
Rfam family: Lysine riboswitch aptamer
About the family: Riboswitches are metabolite binding domains within certain messenger RNAs that serve as precision sensors for their corresponding targets. Allosteric rearrangement of mRNA structure is mediated by ligand binding, and this results in modulation of gene expression. This family includes riboswitches that sense lysine in a number of genes involved in lysine metabolism, including lysC.
Source: RNAcentral
UUGAUAGAGGCGCGAAAUUUAUCAGUAAUCAUUUUGAUGCAGUCAGGUGCAGAUGAUGGAUGACAAAAGGGAAUUUCGCCGAAGAGGAAAAGUCCUGUUGCUUUUCUGUCUGGGCAUACAGUUAAGAGCUGUAUGACUGUCAUCAUUAUUGGUGGAGUGCUAUCUGA